Mauremys reevesii (Reeves's turtle) is the source of this 259-nucleotide long non-coding RNA. RefSeq lists it as uncharacterized. The record is from RefSeq and is a predicted model, not a curated record. Lineage: Eukaryota; Metazoa; Chordata; Testudines; Geoemydidae. The transcript is spliced from 3 exons.
GAGGAGACGGAGCCGGUUUGCGAAGGAGCGUUGGGCGCUGCGGUUCUGCCUGGCUCGCGCGGAGCCGUUGGAGCCUCUCCCGGGCCGGAGAAGGGUGUGUGACUGAGAUUGGGGCUCUUAUCAUACUGAGUGUGGCCCUGUUCUGCCAGAUGCUGGAGAGACCCCAACUGAGAUCUGGGCCCUGUUCUGCCAGGCACUGAAGAGACCCCAGGGAAAGAGACUCCCCAGCCUCCCUUGUAAGACUAUUCCAGAGCUGACC